RNAcentral lists this ribosomal RNA (1680 nucleotides) under Triticum aestivum (bread wheat). Its description in RNAcentral is "partial small subunit ribosomal RNA". Lineage: Eukaryota; Viridiplantae; Streptophyta; Magnoliopsida; Poales; Poaceae. The record is from RNAcentral.
AUGACACGCACGUACGUCAACCACCUCCCGCGCCACGUGGAAAGCUCCCCGAUUCCUCCGCGCAGCUUAUCGAUCCCAUUCCCAGAUCGUCUCCACUCCGCUCACCGGAGUCAAGCAAGCGCCGCCAUGCAUCGGCCCCGCCGUCUUCCGCUGCUGCUCAUCCUCCUCGGCCUCCUCCCGGCCGUCGCGCGGGCGCUGCUCCCGCCGCCCCGCUUCCCGGGCCCCCACGCGCGGCCGCGGCCGCGGGCCGGGACGGGAGACGGGGUCGGCGGGGGCUACGAGUUCGAGACCCGCUACUUCCGGCAGCGGCUGGACCACUUCAGCUUCUCGGGCGAGGAGGAGUUCUUCCAGCAGCGGUACCUCGUGGGCCGCGCCGGCGCCGGCGGGUGGGCGGGCCCCGGCGGGCCCAUCUUCUUCUACUGCGGCAACGAGGGCGACAUCGCCUGGUUCGCCGCCAACUCCGGCCUCGUCUGGGACGCCGCCCCGCGCUUCGCCGCCCUCGUCGUCUUCGCCGAGCAUCGCUACUACGGCGAGUCCAUGCCGUUCGGCAGCAAAGACAAGGCCUACAACAAUUCCAGGUCCAUGGCGUACCUGACGGCCGAGCAAGCGCUCGCUGACUACGCCGUGCUGCUCACCGACCUCAAGAGGAACCUGUCCUCGGAAAGCAGCCCCGUGGUGCUCUUCGGGGGCUCAUACGGUGGAAUGCUUGCUGCUUGGAUGAGACUCAAGUACCCGCAUAUUGCUGUCGGGGCUCUCGCGUCGUCGGCUCCGAUCCUACAGUUUGAGGACAUUGUACCUGACACCAUAUUCUACGAUCUUGUUUCAAAUGAUUUUAAGAGGGAGAGUUUAAGCUGCUUCCAAACAAUAAAGGACUCAUGGAAAGAAUUAGAUGAGCAGGGAAAUGGGCAAGAUGGUCUUCUGAAACUAAGCAAAACAUUCCACCUUUGCCAGACCCUGAAUACCACGGGGGCCCUUUCGGAUUGGUUGAGCUCAGCAUACAGUUAUCUGGCCAUGGUGGAUUACCCAAUGCCGUCAGAGUUUCUCAUGCCUUUGCCUGCCAACCCAAUUAAGGAAGUAUGUAGAAAUAUUGACAAGCAACCAGAGGGGAGCAGUAUACUGGAACGAAUUUAUGCAGGAGUAAAUAUAUACUACAAUUAUACUGGUACGGUUGACUGCUUUGAUCUAGAUGAUGAUCCUCAUGGAAUGGGUGGAUGGGAUUGGCAGGCUUGUACUGAGAUGGUGAUGCCAAUGUCUUCUAGUGAAGGUCUUAGCAUGUUUCUACCAGAUGAAUUCGACUAUGCAUUGUAUGCCGAUGACUGUGUCAAAAACUUUGGUGUUAGGCCAAGGCCUCGAUGGAUCUCUACAGAGUUUGGUGGUCAUAAUAUUAGUUCUGUUCUGGAGAAAUUUGGUAGUAAUAUCAUAUUCUUCAAUGGACUUCUCGAUCCUUGGAGUGGUGGAGGCGUCCUGAAGAAUAUAUCUGAGAGUGUUGUUGCCAUUGUGGCUCCACUAGGAGCGCAUCACAUAGACCUGCGCCCCGCGACCAAGGAGGACCCGGAUUGGCUCGUAAGCCUGAGAGAAUCGGAACUCGAGAUCAUAUCUGGCUGGCUAUCGGAUCACUACGGAGCAAGAGGGGGCGCGCUCUUUCAGCGCGCAACCAACAAGGACUCGGCUGCGUCAUAA